Long non-coding RNA from Thrips palmi, 469 nucleotides. RefSeq lists it as uncharacterized. NCBI's taxonomy places the organism in Eukaryota, Metazoa, Arthropoda, Insecta, Thysanoptera, Thripidae. The transcript has 5 exons. The record is from RefSeq and is a predicted model, not a curated record.
CUGGCCGGGACGGAUCGGUUAGGAGGCACGGCAGCGCGCACAGCCGCACAGCGCGGCCCUCGUCGCGAACAGCGCAACGCGAGCAUUCACGUCGCGGACGCGAACACCACGCACCGCGGCGGCCUUGCGGACAGCCACGGACAGCCCUGCGGACGACAGCCAAGAGAGGGAGGAAGUCCCCCGCGCCGUUGUCACCGAGACCCUCGCGCACGAUGGGCCGACGGGCACCCGUCGUCCAGGCCGCGCCGCCGCCAUGCAGCCCCUCUCCACGGAGGCGCGUUUGAGUGACUGAUUAAAAGUCCGCUGCCGCUCGGCCCUGCCCACCCCGGCCGCCCCUUCCAUCUUCCAUGCGACCCGCAGUCGCUGAGGUCCGAUGGCCCCUACGCCUCCGAACGUGAACCUGACCGCCGCUGGGGCCGGCAACGGCGCUGGCCCCGGCAGCGUGCCUGCCGCCGCCCCGGCCGCCCCC